CACAGCUCCUGACACACGGACAGCGAGCGAGGUGGGAUUUAGGAGCCGCUCUAGUGUAACAUCCCACCAAGAACUGCUUGUCCGCCAAGAGUAACAACCGGAGCAGUUCUCUCUGGAAUAUGUGUGCUAAUUCUGGAAGGUGGAGGAAAACAUUCUCCCUUCACGACAUGACUUCAACACCCGGAAACUUGACUGCAGUGACCUCUACUGUGUAACCUUCACUUUUCCUGUUCAAGAGGAGGAACUCUUUGCAGAUCUGUUAUAAUCUUUUACACCUAUCUAAAAUGUAGAACAUACAGCUGAUGACAAGGAGGGGCCAGCUGCUGAUGGCUUGCUCUGGCUUCUCCUUCUGUCACUCAGUUUCAGGCACUGAAAUAAACAGAUGUUUGAAGCUUUCCACUGAGAGCUCUACAAUAUGCUGUCUUCAAUACAUUGUGUUAACUGGGAUAUUGUGGGAAACAAAUUUACAAAGCUGCAUUGUAGAAGAUCUGAAUUUAACAAGGGAGAUAAGACUACAUGACUGCACUUGCAUCUGAUUAAAACAAACAAAUAAAAACCAGGAAAUGACCCUGGCACCUCUGAGACCAAGUAGAAGGAAGAGGGAUGAUCACCAUGCGAGUACUUAAAAACACAGCUACAAGAAAAGGAAAAACACAGCUCCAAGCAAGGCUGCAGAAGAUGGUCACAUUCCUAGUGUGAUGGGGAACAGUGAAGUUACCAGAGAUUAAAGAAAAACUGCUUUUAAGGCUGCAGUAAGUGUAGUCUGUGCCUACGAAAUCUACUUUUCCUUUUUAGUUGACAAACAAUGACUGCAAAUUAUUUGAAUUACAUGUUCUCCCUAAAAGCUUUUGUAGUAAUUUGCCAGAAUAGUCUCCAUCAAGAUGAAAUAAUUUGGUUUGGAUCUGGCUUAUUACAGUGACGUUUUGUAAUAAAACCCCCAGUACGUGA
Oenanthe melanoleuca is the source of this 948-nucleotide long non-coding RNA. RefSeq lists it as uncharacterized. NCBI's taxonomy places the organism in Eukaryota, Metazoa, Chordata, Aves, Passeriformes, Muscicapidae. The transcript has 6 exons. The record is from RefSeq and is a predicted model, not a curated record.